GAUGAACGCUGGCGGCGUGCUUAACACAUGCAAGUCGAACGAUGAAGCCCAGCUUGCUGGGUGGUUUAGUGGCGAACGGGUGAGUAACACAUGAGUAGCCUGCCCUUAACUCUGGGAUAAGCCUGGGAAACUGGGUCUAAUACCGGACAGGAGCGUCCACCACACGGUGGGUGUUGGAAAGAUUGAUCGGUUUUGGAUGGACUCGCGGCUUAUCAGCUUGGUGGUGAGGUAAUGGUUCACCACGGCGACGACGGGUCGCCGGCCUGAGAGGGUGACCAGCCACACUGGGCCUGAGACACGGCCCAGACUCCUACGGGAGGCAGCAGUGGGAAAUAUUGCACAAUGGGCGCAAGCCUGAUGUAGCGACGCCCCGUGCGGGAAGCCGGCCUUCGGGUUGUAAACAUCGUUCAGUAGGGCAGAAGCGAAAGUGACGGUACCUGAAGAAGAAGCCACGGCUAACUACGUG
This 466-nucleotide ribosomal RNA is filed under the name uncultured bacterium. RNAcentral's name for it is "partial 16S ribosomal RNA". It matches the Rfam family "Bacterial small subunit ribosomal RNA", at positions 28 to 507 of the family's 1533-position model. The record is from RNAcentral.